UACGAAGGGUGCAAGCGUUACUCGGAAUUACUGGGCGUAAAGCGUGCGUAGGUGGUGAGUUAAGUCUGUCGUGAAAGCCCCGGGCUCAACCUGGGAAUGGCGAUGGAUACUGGCUCGCUAGAGUGCGGUAGAGGAGAGUGGAAUUCCCGGUGUAGCAGUGAAAUGCGUAGAGAUCGGGGAGGAACAUCAGUUGCGAAGGCGGCUCUCUGGACCAGCACUGACACUGAGGCACGAAAGCGUGGGGAGCAAACAGG
This 254-nucleotide ribosomal RNA is filed under the name uncultured bacterium. RNAcentral describes it as "partial 16S ribosomal RNA". It matches the Rfam family "Bacterial small subunit ribosomal RNA", at positions 524 to 776 of the family's 1533-position model. The record is from RNAcentral.